Molecule: long non-coding RNA, 331 nt
Organism: Arabidopsis thaliana (thale cress)
Lineage: Eukaryota; Viridiplantae; Streptophyta; Magnoliopsida; Brassicales; Brassicaceae
Product: other RNA
Exons: 2
Source: RefSeq
UUAUUGGGGUCUUUGUUUCUUGUGUUCUUAAAUCAAAAACACAUUAUGUCGCUUAUCUCCCAGGCAUCGUUUUGCUUAUUUCAGGGUUGGUUGCCUUGAUGAAAUAACCUUAAGAUCAUUAGUGUUGUUGUUAAGGGCGUAGCUCGUUUGGCAUCUGGUCUUAUAAUAGUGCUUUUAAUCUGCUUCCUUCAACAUUGCUUCUCCUUCAACGGAAAAACAAGGAAAUUGCAAAAAUUAGUGAUCUUCUUCCUUUUCAAGGGUGUUCCUGUGAGUAAGCCAUUUGUCUCACUUGUUUAAUAACCAGACCCGGUGAACUGUUUUCCCUUAUCUG